UGAAAUAGACAUACAUAACAUAUAUAAGUAUCAUCCUCACAACAAACACCAUCACAACAAUAUAAGUAUCAUGACAAACAUAACCAUCAUCGCAAACAUAAGCAUCUAAAGAAGCACACAAGUCAUCUAAAAGAUCACAAGUCAUCUAAAAAACCACCACCACCAAAAGACCACCACCACAAGUCAUCUAAAAGACCACCACCACAAGUUUGUGAUCACCACCACUGUCACCCAAAGGCUUAAGCGCUAGGACAUCCACCACCACCGCCAAGGUCAUCACCGCCAAGUCCGCUGAAGCCUAGGUCAUCCCUGCUAGCGGCAGCGCUACCGCCAAGACCGCCGCCGCCUCCGUGGAUAGGAGUGACCGGGCUCCGUGACUCGGGAGUGAUGCCAAGACCAGCACCACCACCAACGGUAGAUCCACCAGUUCCCUGGAUGUUAAAAAGACAUGUUAAGGGGAUAUAUGAUUGUGUUGAAUAAACAUUAUGCUUUGGGUGAAUAGUUUGAGAUGUACUAACCGGCGAGGGGCCAGGGUUCUGUGUCAGAAACUCCUCAAAAGUAAGAAG
RNAcentral lists this long non-coding RNA (566 nucleotides) under Triticum aestivum (bread wheat). RNAcentral's name for it is "long non-coding RNA (TAES_LNC012210)". Lineage: Eukaryota; Viridiplantae; Streptophyta; Magnoliopsida; Poales; Poaceae. The record is from RNAcentral.